RNAcentral lists this ribosomal RNA (492 nucleotides) under uncultured bacterium. RNAcentral describes it as "partial 16S ribosomal RNA". It matches the Rfam family "Bacterial small subunit ribosomal RNA", at positions 29 to 507 of the family's 1533-position model. The record is from RNAcentral.
AGUGAACGCUGGCGGUAGGCCUAACACAUGCAAGUCGAACGGCAGCACAGUAAGAGCUUGCUCUUACGGGUGGCGAGUGGCGGACGGGUGAGGAAUACAUCGGAAUCUACUUUUUCGUGGGGGAUAACGUAGGGAAACUUACGCUAAUACCGCAUACGACCUACGGGUGAAAGCAGGGGAUCUUCGGACCUUGCGCGAUUGAAUGAGCCGAUGUCGGAUUAGCUAGUUGGCGGGGUAAAGGCCCACCAAGGCGACGAUCCGUAGCUGGUCUGAGAGGAUGAUCAGCCACACUGGAACUGAGACACGGUCCAGGCGCCUGCGGGAGGCAGCAGUGGGGAAUAUUGGACAAUGGGCGCAAGCCUGAUCCAACCAUACCGCGUGGGUGAAGAAGGCCUUCGGGUUGUAAAGCCCUUUUGUUGGGAAAGAAAAGCAGCAGGUUAAUACCCCGCUGUUCUGACGGUACCCAAAGAAUAAGCACCGGCUAACUUCGUG